Strigops habroptila (Kakapo) is the source of this 700-nucleotide long non-coding RNA. RefSeq lists it as uncharacterized. The transcript has 2 exons. Lineage: Eukaryota; Metazoa; Chordata; Aves; Psittaciformes; Psittacidae. The record is from RefSeq and is a predicted model, not a curated record.
AAACCACUAUUAGUCAAUGCCGUUUCCUGACCACGCAUAAAAUGGUGCAGGCAGCACAGAUGAAUCAAACACGAGCUCUUAAAACAUUAUUCACUUGCUGCUACAGCGUCCCCAAAAGUUUGCCGCGGCCCAAAGAAGAGAACUAAACUCCCUAUUCUAUUUUUUUCCCCCCCAGGAUGUGAACUUUCCCAGAACAAACUGCAGUUUAGGAUAACAACAAGAGCGUACACAGAAAGUAAGAUAUUGCAGCCAGUUUCGCACGAAGGCCUCCCGCACCGUGCAGCCGAAAGCACUCAUGCCAGGGCCUGCAGGAGCCCAUUACGAAGCGCGUCCUGCCCAAGAUGCAGUUGACGUGAAAGUGACAUUCGUGAGCGCCAUCCUUCUACCAGGUAUCAGGACCUGACAAAAACCAGCCCUCCGUAACUGCUCCGCCACUUACAGUGCUGAUGUUGGGUUCUCAGCACCUUACCUGGUGCACACAUCUGCUCUGCGCUCCUUGCUGGCACAGGCGUGGGCCUCGAGCCCUUCACUCCACAGCUCCCGGACUGGGGCGCUUCUGUUCCCUCCCACAUGUGUUCACUACCCACCAGUUUUGAGAGUUGUCGGUCAGAUCUGUUUCUCUUAAGUGGAAUGAAUUUCCCUAAAUCAUUGACGUAUCUUCCUAGUUGCUUCUGAAAAUAAAUGAUAAUUGUAAGUUCCA